AAAGUCUGCCACUACUCAUUUGGAUCUCUCUUCAACAGGGUUUCACCACACUUUUCCAGAUAGAGAAGGAAAGAGACAGAGAAACAGGGAAAAAGAGAAAGACACCUUAGCACCAAAACUUCCUGAGUCUUGAGUGUAAUGAAAGCAGGCAUCUUUUCAGCCACCAAAUUCCAGAUGGUACUAUGACUUCCCUGGGCAGAUGAUCUCACCAAUGCUUCCUGGAACCUUAUCUCUCCAGAUCCCUACCAUAUCAGAAAAAGAUAGAAACAGGCUGUGGGUAUGGAUCAACUUGCCAACAUUCAUGUCCAACAGAGAAGCAAUUAUAGAAGCCAGAAGUCCCACCUUCUGCACCAUAAAAAGAACUUUGGUUCAUACUCCCAGAAGGAGAAAUAAUAAGGAAAGUAAGCCAAAGAGUUCUGCACCCCCAUUCCACCAGGGCCUGGAACAUUUGUCAUCAGGAAUCUUGUUUUUAUACAAUCAAUGAAAGGGAAGCAAAUCUGGAGAACACCAGAGCAAGCCGGGCACUAUUUCUCCUAUCUGAGAGAGAAGAGGAAAAAAAGCAAAGACAUCUGGAAGUGGUAAUAAGUAUAGGAGUGACUUAGAAAGGAAGUGAAGGUAGAACCAUUGAAAAAAUGGGGACACACACACGCACAUCAAGAUAUAAAAUCAGCUUCCAAUGGAGGGGAUUGGGUACACCUGAAAUUAUAUCCCUAUUAACUUAUAAUUGUAUAAUAUUAAAUCACUAAUAAAAAAAGAAUCAUCAGGAUCCUGAAAAUAUAGAACAAUGAUUCUUUCAGACCCUAGCAACUACUUAGAUACCUGAUAUGUCUUGUCCCACCAAGAUACACAGACACAACUUUGCACUUCACAGGACUGCAUUACUAAGCAGGAAGUGGUGACUGUGGUUUACACUGCUGUUAUAAUGUCCCAUCUGAUUUCGCACUUGGUACCUUUGGUGACUGAGUGUGGGUUUCACCAAAAGUACUGCUGUUUAUAGGUGACAUAUGUAGGUUAAGCAAAAACAGCCAUGGACUGUAAUUAUUCUUUGAAAAUAGUUGUUGGAGGUGACACUGUGUCAGGAACAAAAUAGAUUGAACAUAAAGUUACAAUACUACAAUGUUAAGAAAAAUAACUAAAGAGGUGCAAAACAAUUUCCAGAUGGUAACUGAACUUGCAAAAACAAAACGGUAACCAAAUUGUCUCUAGGCUCUGAAAACAAUGAUGGUUACCAGAGGGAAGUGGGGCUUGGGGGAAGGAUGCACAGAAACUGGUGAUAUGUGUGGUGAGCUGCAAAAAUACAUGGGUAAAGAAUUAUAUUCCUGAAAUGUAAUGAUUUUUGUAAACC
Molecule: long non-coding RNA, 1345 nt
Organism: Erinaceus europaeus (western European hedgehog)
Lineage: Eukaryota; Metazoa; Chordata; Mammalia; Eulipotyphla; Erinaceidae
Exons: 3
Source: RefSeq, a predicted model, not a curated record